GACUGCCUUCAAUAAAGUCAUGGGGGAUUGCAUGGUCAAAGCAGGCACUUACUUCGACGUAUACCCGGUUUUCAAGGAGAAGUACAAUAUUGUAUUCAAAGACAUACUGACUAGAUUUAACAACUGCUACAAUUGGUCACCUGACGUGAGGUACAUCUUGUUCGCCAUGAGAUGGCUCCGAGACAUGAUGUCUGGGUGAAUUCCACAUCCUGCAAGACGGAUCUGCAUUGCUGCAAAUAAAC
Non-coding RNA from Dermacentor albipictus, 242 nucleotides. The record is from RefSeq and is a predicted model, not a curated record. Lineage: Eukaryota; Metazoa; Arthropoda; Arachnida; Ixodida; Ixodidae.